Molecule: ribosomal RNA, 2061 nt
Filed under: marine metagenome
Description: bacterial LSU rRNA
Rfam family: Bacterial large subunit ribosomal RNA
Source: RNAcentral
UUGGAGCUAGCUGGUUCUCCUCGAAAUGCGUUGAGGCGCAGCGGUUGAUUAUGGGCUUCUAGGGGGUAAAGCGCUGUCUCGGUGCGGGCUGCGAAAGCGGUACCAAUCUGUUGCAAACUCGGAAUACCUAGAACGCUUUCAAUCGGCCAGUGAGACUGCGGGGGAUAAGCUCCGUAGUCAAAAGGGAAACAGCCCAGACCACCAGCUAAGGCUCCUAAAUAAAAGCUAAGUGGCAAAGGAGGUAAAAAUGCAGUGACAAUCAGGAGGUUUGCCUAGAAGCAGCCACCCUUUAAAGAGUGCGUAAUAGCUCACUGAUCAAGCGUUUUCGCGCCGAAAAUGACCGGAACUAAGUUUUUUGCCGAAGCUGUGGCUACAUCACAUAGAUGAUGUAGGGUAGAGGAGCGUUCCGUCCAGGGGGAAGCCAAGCGCGUAAGCCGCGGUCGACAGGACGGAAGUGAGAAUGUCAGAUUGAGUAACGUAAACAUUGGUGAGAAUCCAAUGCCCCGAAAACUCAAGGGUUCCUGCGCAAGGCUCGUCCGCGCAGGGUCAGUCAGGACCUAAGGUGAGGCCGAAAGGCGUAAUUGAUGGCAAGAAGGUUUAUAUUCCUUCACUAGUCUAGGCUUAGUCCUGAGGGACGAACAAAUAACACUCUACACAACAGCCAUACUUGGCAGUUUGGAUAAACCUGUUGUUGUUUGAUGCUAUUUAUUCCAAGAAAAGCUCAUUCGACUUUGAGUCUAGACUACCUGUACCGUAAACCGACACAGGUGAGUGGGUUGAAUAAACUAAGGGGAGCGAGAUAACUCUCUCUAAGGAACUCGGCAAAUUGGCUCUGUACCUUCGGAAGAAAGAGUGCCCCUCAGGGGGCCACAGUAAAGAGAUCCAGGCGACUGUUUACCAAAAACACAGGUCUCCGCAAAGUCGUAAGACGACGUAUGGGGGCUGACACCUGCCCAGUGCCAGAAGGUUAAAGAAGUUGGUCAAUCUUUGAUGAAGCUAACAACUGAAGCCCUGGUGAACGGCGGCAGUAACUAUAACUGUCCUAAGGUAGCGAAAUUCCUUGUCGGGUAAGUUCCGACCCGCACGAAAGGUGUAACGAUCUGGAUACUGUCUCAGAGAGAGACUCGGUGAAAUAAAACUAGCUGUGAAGAUGCGGCUUACCUGCACACGGACAGAAAGACCCUAUGAAGCUUUACUGUAACCUGGAAUUGCUUUCAAGCUUAUUUUGCGCAGCUUAGGUGGGAGGCUACGAACCUUUUCUUCCGGGAAGAGGGGAGCCAUCAGUGAGAUACCACUCUUGGUAAGCUAGAAAGCUCAGUCUUAACCGUUAUCCGGUAAGAUGACAGUUUCAGGCGGGCAGUUUGACUGGGGCAGUCACCUCCCAAAAGGUAAUGGAGGUGCACAAAGGUUCCCUCAGGUUGGACGGAAAUCAACCAUAGAGUGUAAAAGCAUAAGGGAGCUUGACUGCGAGACUGACAUGUCAAGCAGAGACGAAAGUCGGUUUUAGUGAUCCGACGGUGCUGCGUGGAAAGGCCGUCGCUCAACGGAUAAAAGUUACUCUAGGGAUAACAGGCUAAUCUCCCCCAAGAGUUCACAUCGACGGGGAGGUUUGGCACCUCGAUGUCGGCUCGUCGCAUCCUGGAGCGGAAGUACGUUCCAAGGGUUGGGCUGUUCGCCCAUAGAAAGCGGCACGCGAGCUGGGUUCAGAACGUCGUGAGACAGUUUGGUCCAUAUCCUGUGUAGGCGUUUAGAGCAUUGAAAGGAUCUCCCCUUUGUACGAGAGGACCAGGUGGGGACAGACCUCUAGUGUACCAGUUAUUCCGCCAGGGGUAAACGCUGGGUAGCUAUGUCUGGAGUAAAUAACUGCUGAAAGCAUAUAAGUAGGAAGUUCACCUUAAGAUGAGUGCUCUUUUGUCUCAAACGAUCAACCUUCUAUGAAGGAUUGACAAAUGAAAGACAAGGAAGGUCACGGCAAGACGAGCCGUUUGAUAGGCAUGAAGUAGAAGUGCAGUAAUGCAUUCUGAAGCUGACAUGUGCUAAUAGACCGAGGGAUUUGAUUUU